GGCCUAACACAUGCGAGUCGAGCGGUAACAGGGGUAGCUUGCUACCCGCUGACGAGCGGCGGACGGGUGAGUAAUGCAUAGGAAUCUGCCCGGUAGUGGGGGAUAACCUGGGGAAACCCAGGCUAAUACCGCAUACGUCCUACGGGAGAAAGGGGGCUCCGGCUCCCGCUAUUGGAUGAGCCUAUGUCGGAUUAGCUAGUUGGUGAGGUAAUGGCUCACCAAGGCGACGAUCCGUAGCUGGUCUGAGAGGAUGAUCAGCCACAUCGGGACUGAGACACGGCCCGAACUCCUACGGGAGGCAGCAGUGGGGAAUAUUGGACAAUGGGCGAAAGCCUGAUCCAGCCAUGCCGCGUGUGUGAAGAAGGCCCUCGGGUUGUAAAGCACUUUCAGCGAGGAAGAACGCCUAGUGGUUAAUACCCACUAGGAAAGACAUCACUCGCAGAAGAAGCACCGGCUAACUCCGUGCCAGCAGCCGCGGUAAUACGGAGGGUGCAAGCGUUAAUCGGAAUUACUGGGCGUAAAGCGCGCGUAGGUGGCUUGAUAAGCCGGUUGUGAAAGCCCCGGGCUCAACCUGGGAACGGCAUCCGGAACUGUCAAGCUAGAGUGCAGGAGAGGAAGGUAGAAUUCCCGGUGUAGCGGUGAAAUGCGUAGAGAUCGGGAGGAAUACCAGUGGCGAAGGCGGCCUUCUGGACUGACACUGACACUGAGGUGCGAAAGCGUGGGUAGCAAACAGGAUUAGAUACCCUGGUAGUCCACGCCGUAAACGAUGUCGACCAGCCGUUGGGUGCCUAGCGCACUUUGUGGCGAAGUUAACGCGAUAAGUCGACCGCCUGGGGAGUACGGCCGCAAGGUUAAA
Molecule: ribosomal RNA, 856 nt
Filed under: Halomonas sp. K4-4L-005
Lineage: Bacteria; Pseudomonadati; Pseudomonadota; Gammaproteobacteria; Oceanospirillales; Halomonadaceae
Description: bacterial SSU rRNA
Rfam family: Bacterial small subunit ribosomal RNA
Source: RNAcentral